Molecule: ribosomal RNA, 253 nt
Filed under: uncultured bacterium
Lineage: Bacteria
Description: partial 16S ribosomal RNA
Rfam family: Bacterial small subunit ribosomal RNA
Source: RNAcentral
UACGAAGGGGGCUAGCGUUGCUCGGAAUCACUGGGCGUAAAGCGCACGUAGGCGGAUUGUUAAGUCAGGGGUGAAAUCCUGGAGCUCAACUCCAGAACUGCCUUUGAUACUGACGGUCUUGAGUUCGGGAGAGGUGAGUGGAACUGCGAGUGUAGAGGUGAAAUUCGUAGAUAUUCGCAAGAACACCAGUGGCGAAGGCGGCUUACUGGUCCGGUUCUGACGCUGAGGCGCGAAAGCGUGGGGAGCAAACAGG